UCCCUGGGAAUUCCAGACAGGAAACAAUCAGGGCCAGCUAAUACCUCCCAACAAAGGAUUCCCCCAGGUAGUAUGAUAAUGGGUUAAACCCUUGUGCCAGCAGGACUGCUGACUGACAACUUGGUGGUUCGAAUCCAGGGAGAGUGGGUAAGCUCCCUCUGUCAGCACAAGCUCCCCAUGCGGGAACAUGAGAGAAGCCUCCCACAAGCAGGGGCGGCUUCUGUGGCAGGCAUCUAAAAAACUCUAAAAUCAGGACAACACUUUAGAAGACUGGGGAAUUCCAGACAAGAAACAAUCAGGGCCAACUAAUACCUCCUAACAAAGGUUUUCCCCAGACAAGAAGCAGCCAGGCUUUGAAGCUGCAAGGCUAUUCAAUGCUAAUCAAGGUGACCAAUUGCAACAUUCACACUUGCCUCCCACAGACAAGAGUUCUUUCUCCCACCCUGGACCUUCCACAGAUAUAAACCCCACUUGCCUAGCUUCACACAGACGUCAAAACCUCUGAGUAUGUCUGCCACAGAUGUGGGUGAAACGUCAGGAGAGAAUGCUUCUGGCACAUGGCCAUAGAGCCCGGAAAACUCAUAGCAACCCAGCCAGUAGGCUGUUGCUGAACAACCUAUGAACUUUUAGCAUUAAAGGAAAAAAUGCCCAAGAUUUUAUCACUUAAUACUGUUGGCAUGUCUGGAGAAGAAUAGAAUGCUUCUAUACCAGGCAAGGGCAAACUUUGCCCAUGUCUGGAGUUAGGAAUUGUAGGAGUUGAAAUCCAAAACAAUUUGACAGAAAACUGGGAGUUGUAGUUUGGCAUGGUACUGGCUCUCUUCUGCAGGGAAGGCUAGGGACUUUGUAAAACUACAGCUCACAUGACAUGGCACUGAAUCUGUUGCAAUUGAGCUGGUGCCAGAAUCCUUUCCGGGAGAUCUCCUCAGUGGAGAUAUCUCUUAAAGGGAUAUCCUCUGGCUCUAAGGAUUCCGUUUAGGAAGGCAAGCCUGGUUUUGGUAUUCCCCUUUAAGCCUGGCUGAAGAAGCAAAACCAAACAGCGGCUCCAGGGCGAGGCAGGGCAAGGAGAAGGCCAAGCGCAGGCAGGCAUGGCUCUUCUCUCUUCUCUUCGCUCCCUCCCUGCUUCGCGGAAGGCUUCUCCUGACCCGGUGUGUUCCGGGGGGGGGGGGGGGGCAUCCGAAGACAUCAGAAAAAAACGAAAAAAGUCACUGUGAGAGUUACUAACGACACAGCCAUUGGCAUUGCUCCGCUUCGUCAGGGAACAUGGGGAAUCCGGCACGGCACGCCCCACAUGGCCUGGAUUCAGGUGAGGGCAAUCAC
RNAcentral lists this long non-coding RNA (1317 nucleotides) under Anolis carolinensis (green anole). RNAcentral describes it as "lncRNA (ENSACAG00000039177.1)". Lineage: Eukaryota; Metazoa; Chordata; Lepidosauria; Squamata; Anolidae. The record is from RNAcentral.